RNAcentral lists this ribosomal RNA (253 nucleotides) under uncultured bacterium. RNAcentral's name for it is "partial 16S ribosomal RNA". It matches the Rfam family "Bacterial small subunit ribosomal RNA", at positions 524 to 776 of the family's 1533-position model. The record is from RNAcentral.
UACGUAGGGGGCAGGCGUUAACCGGAAUUACUGGGCGUAAAGCGUCCGCAGGCGGCUGCCUAAGUCUGCUGUCAAAGGCCCGGGCUUAACCCGAUAACGGCGGUGGAAACUGGGGAGCUAGAGUGCGGUAGAGGUGGGGGGAAUUCCCGGUGUAGCAGUGAAAUGCGUAGAGAUCUGGAGGAACACCGAUGGCGAAAGCAGCCCCCUGGGCCAACACUGACGCUCAUGGACGAAAGCUUGGGGAGCAAACAGG